AAACCAACASGGAUUGCCUUAGUARCGGCGAGUUGAAGCGGCAAGAGCUCAAAUUUGAAAUCUGGUACCUUCGGUGCCCGAGUUGUAAUUUGAAGAAAGCUAUCUUGGAUUUGGCCUUUGUCUAUGUUCCUUGGAACAGGACGUCACAGAGGGUGAGAAUCCCGUGCGAUGAGGUGUCCAUUUCUAUGUAAGAUGUUUUCGAAGAGUCGAGUUGUUUGGGAAUGCAGCUCUAAGUGGGUGGUAAAUUCCAUCUAAAGCUAAAUAUUGGCGAGAGACCGAUAGCGAACAAGUACAGUGAUGGAAAGAUGAAAAGAACUUUGAAAAGAGAGUGAAAAAGUACGUGAAAUUGUUGAAAGGGAAGGGUAUUAGAUCAGACUUGGUAUUUAGUUAUCAUUACUCCUUGUGGGUGGUGCUCUAGCUUUUUACUGGGCCAGCAUCAGUUUUGGUGACAGGAUAAUAGCAAUUGAAUGUGGCUCUUCGGAGUGUUAUAGCUUUUGUUGAUACUGUCUACUGGGACUGAGGUCUGCGGCUUUGCCUAGGAUGCUGGCGUAAUGAUCCAAUACCGC
Molecule: ribosomal RNA, 566 nt
Filed under: Ogataea sonorensis
Lineage: Eukaryota; Fungi; Ascomycota; Pichiomycetes; Pichiales; Pichiaceae
Description: eukaryotic LSU rRNA
Rfam family: Eukaryotic large subunit ribosomal RNA
Source: RNAcentral